RNAcentral lists this small nuclear RNA (285 nucleotides) under Peromyscus maniculatus bairdii (prairie deer mouse). RNAcentral describes it as "7SK RNA (ENSPEMG00000002474.2)". It matches the Rfam family "7SK RNA". Rfam says of the family: 7SK was discovered as an abundant small nuclear RNA in the mid-70s but a possible function has only recently been suggested. Two independent studies have found that 7SK RNA binds the CDK9/cyclin T complex (known as elongation factor P-TEFb). P-TEFb activates transcription by phosphorylating the C-terminal domain of RNA polymerase II. The record is from Rfam by way of RNAcentral. Lineage: Eukaryota; Metazoa; Chordata; Mammalia; Rodentia; Cricetidae.
GGAUGUGAGGACGAUCUGGCUGCAACAUCUGUCACCCCAUUGAUCGCCAGGGUUGAUUCGGCUGAUCUGGCUGACUAGGCGGGUGUCCCCUUCCUCCCUCACCGCUCCAUGUGCGUCCCUCCGGAAGCUGCGUCAAAGAGGUCGACCUUCCCCGAAUAGAGGAGGACCGGUCUUCGGUCAAGGGUAUACGAGUAUCUGCGCUCCCCUGCUAGAACCUCCAAACAAGCUCUCAAAGAGCUGUAAGGGGAAAGAGCCCUCUAGACAGGGGAACUGAUUCCUUUGGCC